UACUCUAUUCUGAGAGUUCGAGCAAAAUGCUUAUAAGCAAGGUUAUUCUCUUCCAAAUAUGCAGUUAUUUCCUGUUAGUUGAGCUAACACACGGCAACAAUCAGGCAUUUCAUCGGUCUAAAUUAAGGACUCAAAGAAGAUCUGGCCUCAAGAGGGUUAAUAGAUGCACGCAGUUGAAGAAUCUAUUAAAGCAAAAAGGCAAUCCCAUAGUAGAAGCACCUAAGACUUCGCCGUGUAAAUUAAAAAAAAUCAAGAAACAAAAAUGUACACAUCCCGUAUUGCAUGGAAACUACAAAGAACCAGUAUACCCGACGCGUAAAGGAUAUCCAGAAUAUGAAAAACCCGCUCCGGAUGCAGCAAGCAUACAGUCGGUUCAAACACUGUCUUUAAAUCUAGUAUGGAAGCAGAUUGUUCAAAGAAAUGAACCUCAUGGAUCUCCAAAGAACAUUUCUUCAUCAUUUAUUAACUCGGUUAAGCUUCCCAAUGUGAAUGAUAAUAUCUCCUCGUCAACGGAACCAUUUACCAAAUCAGAAACAGAGGCAAGUUCCUUGGAGUCUACUUCAUCAUCCCCUUUGAAUAUUCUUCCAUCGCAUAAUAAGCAGGAUUCCGCAACGGAUAGUCAAACAGUUCAACCACUGACUUUAAAUCUAUUAUGGGAGCUGAUACUUCAAGGGAAUGAUUCUAUUGUAUCACCUAAGAACAUUUCUUCAUCAUUUAUCCAAUCGGUUAAACAUCCCAAUGUGAAUGAUAGUCUCUCCACGUCAACCCAACCAUUUACUAAAUCAGAAUCGGAAGCCUUAAAUCCAUCAUGGGGGCCGAAUUUUCAAGGGAAUGAUUCUACCGUGUCGCCAAAGGACAUUUCUUCAUCACUUAUUCACUCAGUACAACUUCCUAAUGUGAAUGAUAGUCUCUCCACGUCAACCCAACCAUUUACCAAAUCAGAAACGGAGGCCCCAAAUCCAUUAUGGGACCUGAUUCUUCAAGGAAAUGAUUCUACUGUGUCGCCAAAGGACAUUUCUUCAUCACUUAUUCACUCAGUACAACUUCCUAAUGUGAAUGAUAGUCUCUCCACGUCAACCCAACCAUUUACCAAAUCAGAAUCGGAGGCCUUAUAUUUAUUAUGGCAGCUGAUUCUUCAAGGGAAUGAUUCUACUGUGUCGCCAAAGGACAUUUCUUCAUCACUUAUUCACUCAGUACAACUUCCUAAUGUGAAUGAUAGUCUCUCCACAUCAACCGAACCAUUUACCAAAUCAGAAACGGAGGCCUUAAAUCCAUUAUGGGACCUGAUUCUUCAAGGAAAUGAUUUUACUGUGUCGCCAAAGGACAUUUCUUCAUCACUUAUUCACUCAGUAAAACUUCCUAAUGUGAAUGAAAGUCUCUCCACGUCAACCCAACCAUUUACCAAAUCAGAAUCGGAGGCCUUAAAUCCAUUAUGGCAGCUGAUUCUUCAAGGGAAUGAUUUAACCUUGUCGCUAAAGGACAUUUCUUCAUCACUUAUUCACUCAGUACAACUUCCUAAUGUGAAUGAUAGUCUCUCCACAUCAACCGAACCAUUUACCAAAUCAGAAACGGAGGCCUUAAAUCCAUUAUGGGACCUGAUUCUUCAAGGAAAUGAUUCUACUGUGUCGCCAAAGGACAUUUCUUCAUCACUUAUUCACUCAGUACAACUUCCUAAUGUGAAUGAUAGUUUCUCCACGUCAACCGAACCCUUUACCAAAUCAGAAACAGAGACAACUUCCUUGGAAUCUACUUCGCCUUUAAAUCUUCUUCCAUCGAAUAAUAAGCAGGAUUCCGCAUCAGGUAGUCAAACAGUUGAAACACAGACUUUAAAUCCUUUAUGGGAGCUGAUUCUUAAAAGAAAUGAAUCUACUGAGUCGACAAAGAACAUUUCUUCAUCACUUAUUCACUCAAUUCAGCUUCCUAAUGUGGAUGAUAUUUUCUCCACGUCAACCGAACCCUUUACUAAAUCAGAAAGAGAGACAAGUUCAUUGGAGGCUACUUCGGCAUCACCUUUGAAUAUUCUUCCAUUGAAUAAUAAACAGGAUUUCGCAACGGGUAGUCAAAUGGUUCAAACUUCCGAGUUAGGCCAACAGCUUCCUGAAAAUCCUGAUUUAACGAAGCCUUCAUCAAUUGUUCAAUCCAUUCGAAUUCCUGAUUUAAGCACACCGCUUUCUCAAUAUAACGGAAACGCAAGUUCCUUGGACUCUGCUGCUAUUUCUUCAUCAUCAUCAAUUAUCCACUCUAUCCAAUUUCCAGUUAUUUCUAAUCCCUCAAAUUUUGAUCCUACACCUAAAAAUGAGAUGACUUUACCAUUUACUAAGUCGGAAACAGAGACAAGCUCCUUGGAGUCUACUUCAUCAUCCCCUUUAAAUAUUCUUCCAUCGAAUAAUAAGCAGGAUUCCGCAACGGAUAGUCAAACAGUUCAAACUUCCAAUUUAGGCCAACAGCUUCCUGAAAGGAAUUCUGAAACUGAUUUAUCAAAGUCCGCAUCAAUUGUUCAAUCCAUUCGAGUUCCAGAUUUAAGCAAAACAUCAAUUUUCCACUCUAUCAAAGUUCCAGUUAUUUCUCAUUCCUUAAUCGUUGAUGCUGCACCUGAAAAUGAGUCCACUUCAACUCCAAAAAAUCUAGAAUCCGAGCGGCAACCUCUAGCAACUGAUAUCUUAAAGUCUGCUUCAUCAAUAGUUCAAUCACUUAAAAUUCCUGUUGAGAAUGACCAUUUAUCGUCAUCAUCGUCGAUACUUCCAUCAGUUCAUAAACGUAGUUUACCAGAAUUCCAAGCUCGUUCUCCAUUAGUCCCUAAUGACAUUUCCGCCGAACUUCUUCAAGAUUACGUGUAACUCUGGUAAAACAAUAACAUAUUAUCUCAAGUCCCGUGUUUAAUCGAAAUAUAAAGUCCUAUUCCUUGAACACAAUAUUCCAAGCAAGUCUUACACAAGCAAUAAUAUUUUAUUAAAAACUUUAUUUCCCGAUAUUAAACAUCUGAUAGGGAAAUAUGUUACUUGUAAAAGCUAAUCCAUAGAAUGCCGAUUUAUGAUUGUGCAAUAAUAAAAUUCUAUAUGUGCUUAAUAUUGUAUACAAAAACUGACUUUUGGUAAGCUGAUUGACACAAGCUCUUCAAAUAGAAUAGAAUAUAUGUUGAUGGAUAUUAAUCUAUUUCAAUCUACAGUAAAAACUAAAAGAUUGAAAGAACAAUUGCUAAUCUAAAAACGAUUGCGCUUCUAUCGCAAGCCCUUCUCUUAGAACCUUUAAAGCGAACAUUCAAUAAACUUUACGCUGUAAAAGUUAAUUGCUAUAAAAAGGCGAGUAUUUCAAUCAAUUUUAUAGCAUGAACGCACCAUAAAAGUGCUAUUGAAAUGUCAUAUAAAAUGCAAAAGAAUUAUAUGAAGCGCAUUUGCUGCUCAGCCACAGUUCGAAAAUGAAGCUCAUAUUUGUGCUCUUGGUUUGUUUGGUUGCGCUGCUGCAGCAGGUAUCUUAUGAUAGAAAUCAAGUACUGGCCUUACCUAAAGGCAAGAGUACCACCAAGGAGCCAUGGAACCACGAGAAUGAUCAAACAACCCAUAGACAUCCAUACAAAAUCUCUGAAGAUAUAUGAAAUGCAACCAAUUAAAAUUUAAUUGAAAUAUUGACAAAA
This is a long non-coding RNA of Drosophila novamexicana, 3631 nucleotides long. RefSeq lists it as uncharacterized. The record is from RefSeq and is a predicted model, not a curated record. The transcript is spliced from 3 exons. Lineage: Eukaryota; Metazoa; Arthropoda; Insecta; Diptera; Drosophilidae.